GGGACUAAAACUCAAAACUUUCACACUUAGAAAAAAAAUUGCGCCCCACCCACCCCAAAACUGAAACCCUAAGCUCAGUGUUCUCAACCUAGACUCGAGCUCCUCCUAAACUAGAGCUCCUCCUCCUCCUCCUGAUCACCAUCACAAUCCUCCCUCCUCCAUUCUCAGGCGGAAUCUGAAGCGCCGAGAUCCCGACCUCGAUCUAAAAUUGAAGUAACAGCUCUGAAUCCAGAGUCCGGCCUCGAUCUGAAGAAAUUAAAGAGGAAUGGUUCUUUCCUCUCAAGCCCCACCGAAGUCGGGGUUGGAGCCCUAAACCCGAACACAGCAACCCAGCUGCACUCAACUGCGCCGUUUCUGACUCUCUCCGUCCUCGACUCUCCGUCUCCGCCUCUCCGAUUGGAGCUACUUUCAUGGCCAGGCGGCUAGCAGAAUCUGGAUGACUAGAUCGGGAAAAUCGAUCCCAUUGAUCUGUUAUGAUGCUUCAAUGGCAAGAGGGUUUUCGUUAGGGUUGAUCUCAAUGUUCCUUUGGAUGACGACUGUAAGAUCACCGAUGACACUAGAGUCCGAGCAGCUGUCCCCACCAUCAAGUACUUGCUCGGAAAUGGUGCCAGAGUCAUCCUCGCUUCCCACUUGGGACGUCCCAAGGGUGUCACUCCCAAGUAUAUCUGAUCUGCAGAUACAUUUCUCUCGUUCUUAACUCCCAAGGGGUCCCAAGGAUAUAUUAAUGAAAUAUAUCUGUGUUUACAGAUACAUUUCUCUCGUUCUUAACUCACUUGCAUAUUCAUGCAGGAGGAUUCGAAGUAGAACUAAGAUAAGUGAAAGAUGAAGGUGGCAGUGAUUGGUUCUGGUAUUAGUGGUUUGGUCUCGGCCUAUGUUCUUGCAAAAGAAGGUGUUGAAGUGGUUCUAUAUGAGAAAAAAGACUACCUGGGUGGCCAUGCCAAGACUGUCACAUAUGAUGGUGUUGAUUUGGACCUUGGUCUCAUGGUCUUCAAUCAUGUGAUGUAUCUAAAUAUGAUGGAGUUCUUUGAGAGCCUUGGAGUUGAUAUGGAGACAUGCGACAUGUCUUUCUCAAUGAGUUUAGAUAAAGGACGGGGCUGUGAAUGGGGUAGUCUAAAUGGUCUCUCAAGCUUGUUUGCAGAAAAGAAGAACUUGUUCAACCCAUACUUCUGGAAAAUGCUUCAAGAAAUCACCAAGUUUAAGCAUGAUUUGAUCAGUUAUCUUGAGGUGCUUGAGAGUAACCUAGACAUUCACCGGAAUGAAACCUUGGGGCAGUUUAUUGAGUCACAUCACUACUCUGAACUAUUUCUGAAGGCUUACCUUAUUCCAAUAUGUAGUUCAAUCUUGUCGUGUCCUUCAGAAGGAGUUAUAAGCUUCUCAGCUUUCUCAGUGCUUUCGGUAGUUCAAUCUUCUUUGGGUCCCUUUGAUAUCUUUUCUGUUGGGGGCCGGAGAUAUGUCUGAUGCAAAUGUUGUGAAGUUCAGGAAUGAUGGGAGACUUAUGCUGUUAACUACUACAAAUGGACAUAUUCAUGUACUUGAUUAAUUCUGUGGCACGCUUUUAUCCAUGUACAAUGUAAAGCUUGUCUCAAGCAAUGCUACAUUAGAGGCUUCUUUUAGCCCAGAUGGGAUGUUUGUUAUGUCAGCUUAAAGAGAGAAGAUAAGUGAAGCUAAUCAAGUCUCUUUUGAUAUUGAAAUGUUGACGUGUUGUUGUGGAGGAACCAAAAGAUAUCAGCUAGUGUUUUAACUGCUGCAUUUCAACUUCUUCAAAAGAUGGCUUCAAACAAGGACAGCAGCUGCAAUGUCAGAAAAUGCCAUAGUCCUGAGUUUUAAAUCGAGGGUUUAAAGCAGAACAGCAGCUAUAGUGUCAAAGCUCCAGAGUUUAAACUCAAGAGUCAUUACUGGAUACUUACUAGCAGGAUCUGCCAUUGGACCCAGAGGCUUGAAUUUUGUCAGUGAAAUAGUCCCAGAGGCUUGUCUUUAUUCCUAUUUUGCUUGAUUGAUUCUUUCUUUGCGCUUCCCCUAUUGACUGUUUCUUCAGGAUUAUGUUUUCAGUUCCAUUUGCAGAUUCAAAAUCAUGAAUACUCAUGUUAUACUAGAUUCAAAAUCACGAAUACUCAUGUUAUACUAGUUCGGUCUUUUGCCAUUCAGUAUAGGUGGAUCUAUACUUUUCUUGUCAUUAAUUUAUGUGUGUUUACAUUUGGUAAAGUCCAGUUAUAUUAGUAUUGAGAUUCAUUGCCUUUUUAGUACCUUUUAAGCUCAGUCAUGUCGCUAUUUCUUUUUGUUGAGUUUAGUAAUACCAGAAAUCACUGUCAUUAGGUUUAUGUUGCACUGUGAAACUGACUUUGUCAUUCUCUUGCAGAGCCUUGGAUUACAAGUUGUGAAAUAUUUGGCUGCCAAAUAUGAAGAGCUAGGGUGUGAAGUGAAAUGGAUGGGCAAGCCUGAUAAGGUGAUCUAGUCACAUUGGUCUGGUUACCGCUGUUAACUUCACUUCAUGUGAACCUUUAGCUUAAUACAUAUUUCUCUUGCACUUGACUACCAAGAUGAAUUUUGAGCAAGGCUACUUUUUGCUUUGAAGCAACGUUUGGUGUAGAAAUUUUGUAGAUUGUUGCUCAUAUGUUUCUAGGCUAUCCUUUGUAGGUUUUGGGGUUUUCUUUUGUGACAUAUGUUCAAUCAUGAAUUUGGAAAGAAAAUUAAUGGAAAGCCCCAAUUUUUGGAUGAUUAUGAAA
This is a long non-coding RNA of Rosa chinensis, 2723 nucleotides long. RefSeq lists it as uncharacterized. The transcript is spliced from 12 exons. The record is from RefSeq and is a predicted model, not a curated record. Lineage: Eukaryota; Viridiplantae; Streptophyta; Magnoliopsida; Rosales; Rosaceae.